Molecule: ribosomal RNA, 728 nt
Filed under: uncultured Planctomycetota bacterium
Lineage: Bacteria; Pseudomonadati; Planctomycetota
Description: bacterial SSU rRNA
Rfam family: Bacterial small subunit ribosomal RNA
Source: RNAcentral
GCUUGAGCACGUAGGUGGGUUUGUAAGUCAGAUGUGAAAGCCUUCUGUUCAACGGAAGAAUUGCAUCUGAAACUGCGAGUCUUGAGUGUAGGAGGGGAGAAUGGAACUUCUGGUAGAGCGGUGAAAUGCGUAGAUAUCAGAAGGAACGCCGGCGGCGAAAGCGAUUCUCUGGCCUAUUACUGACACUCAGUGUGCGAAAGCUAGGGGAGCAAACGGGAUUAGAUACCCCGGUAGUCCUAGCCGUAAACGAUGGGCACUAAGUAGAGGGAAUUACCGAUGUUCUCUCUGCCGUAGCUAACGCAUUAAGUGCCCCGCCUGGGGAGUACGGCCGCAAGGCUAAAACUCAAAAGAAUUGACGGGGGCUCGCACAAGCGGUGGAGCAUGUGGCUUAAUUCGAUGCAACGCGAAAAACCUUACCGGGGCUUGACAUGGUAGAAGUAGGAACCCGAAAGGGUAACGAGCGGUAUCCAGUCCGUAGCUAUCACAGGUGUUGCAUGGCUGUCGUCAGCUCGUGUCGUGAGACGUUGGGUUAAGUCCCCUAACGAGCGAAACCCUUGUUUUUAGUUACCAGCGGGUUGUGCCGGGUACUCUAGAAAGACUGCCGUCGUCAAGACGGAGGAAGGUGGGGAUGACGUCAAGUCAUCAUGGCCCUUAUGCCCCGGGCUGCACACGUGCUACAAUGGUCGGUACAAACGGAAGCGAAGCCGAGAGGUGAAGCGAAUCCAAGC